RNAcentral lists this ribosomal RNA (1218 nucleotides) under Triticum aestivum (bread wheat). RNAcentral's name for it is "partial small subunit ribosomal RNA". The record is from RNAcentral. Lineage: Eukaryota; Viridiplantae; Streptophyta; Magnoliopsida; Poales; Poaceae.
AUGGAGCGGAGGCAGCCGCAGACCGCGCCGGCGCCGCGGCGGAAGGGUGCGCCGGCGGCGAGUCAGGAGUGGCUGGUGGUGCCGGCGGCGGGGGAGGAGAGCACGGGGGAGUUCGGGAGGCACCGGAUCAUGGAGAUAACGGGGCUCCCCGCGCGGGACCUCCGCAUGCUCGACCCGCAGCUCUCCUACCCGUCCACCAUCCUCGGCCGCGACCGCGCUGUCGUCGUCAACCUCGAGCACGUCAAGGCCAUCGUCACCGCCGCCGAGGUGCUCGUCCGCGACCCCGGCAACCCGCGCCUCCGCCCCUUCCUCCAAGAACUCCACGCCCGCCUCGCGCUCCCGGAUGCGUCUACCACGAAUCCGGCAACCGACGACAUGGAGCUGGGUGGUGAUCAGGGGAACGUGCCAAUGCCUGGCAGCGCUAAGAUCCAGCCCUUCGAGUUCAAGGUGCUCGAGGUCUGCCUCGAACACACAUGCAAAUGCAUGGAAUCCGAGACGUUGGCCCUGGAGAAGGAGGCGUAUCCGGCCUUGGACAAGCUGACCUCCAAGGUUAGCACGCUCAACCUGGAGCACGUCAGGCAGAUCAAGAGCCGCCUGGUAGAGCUAACAGGGCGCGUGCAGAAGGUGAGGGAUGAUAUCGAGCAGCUGGUUGACGAUGACACGGAUAUGUCCGAGAUGUACCUGACGAGGAAGCUUGCGUUUCAAAGAGUAGACGAGUCAUCGGUUAAAUUGGAUUCCAACAAGCAUGCAUCUCCUGACCAUGAGGAUGAGAAGGAGGAAGAAGACAGUGGCGAUGAUAUAGAGAGCUCCCACGCAAGUUCUGCUUUUGUUAAGCCUGAUGUAGAAGAGUUGGAAAUGCUUCUCGAAGCUUACUUCGUGCAGUUUGAUGGCACGCUGAACAAGUUAUGCCAUCUCCGCGACUACGUGGAUGACACUGAGGAUUACAUCAACAUGAUGCUGGACGAGAAGCAGAACCAGCUGCUGCAGAUGGGUGUGAUGCUCACGACGGCGACCGUGGUGAUCACCGCGGGCAUCGUGGUCGUGAGCCUGUUCGGCAUGAACAUCCACAUCGAGCUGACGUUAGAUCCGGAGACCCCCGAGAUGGCGAGGAUCAAAAACAGAAAGUUCUGGGAGACCACCUGGGCCACCGUUGCCGGCUGCGCCGCCAUAUACAUCCUGGCCAUCUAUGCAGGGAAGAAGAGCAAAUACUUGCAGUGA